This 371-nucleotide ribosomal RNA is filed under the name uncultured organism. RNAcentral describes it as "partial 16S ribosomal RNA". It matches the Rfam family "Bacterial small subunit ribosomal RNA", at positions 527 to 896 of the family's 1533-position model. The record is from RNAcentral.
GUAGGUGGCAAGCGUUGUCCGGAAUUAUUGGGCGUAAAGCGCGCACAGGCGGUUCUUUAAGUCUGAUGUGAAAGCCCACGGCUCAACCGUGGAGGGUCAUUGGAAACUGGAGAACUUGAGUACAGAAGAGGAAAGCGGAAUUCCACGUGUAGCGGUGAAAUGCGUAGAGAUGUGGAGGAACACCAGUGGCGAAGGCGGCUUUCUGGUCUGUAACUGACGCUGAGGCGCGAAAGCGUGGGGAGCAAACAGGAUUAGAUACCCUGGUAGUCCACGCCGUAAACGAUGAGUGCUAAGUGUUAGGGGGGUAUCCGCCCCUUAGUGCUGCAGCUAACGCAUUAAGCACUCCGCCUGGGAGUACGGCCGCAAGGCUG